This 409-nucleotide ribosomal RNA is filed under the name uncultured bacterium. RNAcentral describes it as "bacterial SSU rRNA". It matches the Rfam family "Bacterial small subunit ribosomal RNA", at positions 355 to 776 of the family's 1533-position model. The record is from RNAcentral.
UGGGGAAUAUUGCGCAAUGGGCGAAAGCCUGACGCAGCGACGCCGCGUGCGGGAUGAAGGCCUUCGGGUUGUAAACCGCUUUUGGAGGCAAAAAAGCGAGAGCGAUGGUAACCUCCGAAUAAGGACCGGCUAACUACGUGCCAGCAGCCGCGGUAAUACGUAGGGUUCAAGUGUUGUCCGGAAUUAUUGGGCGUAAAGGGCUUGUAGGCGGCCGGUCGCGUCUGGUGUGAAAUUCCGCCGCCCAACGGCGGAACUGCGCUGGAUACGGGCCGGCUAGAGUGCGGCAGGGGGGACUGGAAUUCCUGGUGUAACGGUGGAAUGUGUAGAUAUCAGGAAGAACACCAAUGGCGAAGGCAGGUCCCUGGGCCGCAACUGACGCUGAGGAGCGAAAGCGUGGGGAGCAAACAGG